Molecule: long non-coding RNA, 947 nt
Organism: Rosa chinensis
Lineage: Eukaryota; Viridiplantae; Streptophyta; Magnoliopsida; Rosales; Rosaceae
Exons: 5
Source: RefSeq, a predicted model, not a curated record
CAAACUAGCACCUUUUGGCUAUUCAAACGUUGUUCUUAUCUGAACUUGUAAAGGGAGGGUGCUGGAGCUUUUAGGAGUGGGUAGAGAACUUGCUUUGGACAGGAAAUUAGGUCGGAGAAGAGAAUAAACGAUAAGAAUUGAGUUUGGUUUGGGUAUUGACGAAACUAUGGGGAGAUCAAUAUUUUUGGUUUCUCAACGGAUUUUGAAGGACCUAUUUUGUGGUUAGAGGACCUAUUUUGUACCAGAGAUUGCAAGCAUGCUGAUAGCACUGUAGGAAAAAUUUAGAAAGUAAAGUUCCAGAUAUUGCAAAAUCUGGAUUUACAUCGGCAUGGUUGCCGCCAUCAACUCAUUCCUUUGCCCCGGAAGGUUACCUCCUUCAGAACAUAUAUUCCCUCAAUUCUGAAUAUGGAUCUAAGCGCCAAUUAGGAGGUUUACUAAAAAAAAUUGGGCUACCUCCCUCAAAACAUAUAUUCCAUCGAAUUGGGUUUAUUUAUUUACAGCUUACUCUGUUUUGUGUUUCCGAAUAUUCAAUUAGUUAUGCAGCUAAAUAUGUGAAGGAGUAUAUUGAAGGAGCAAAACCAAUUUUUUCCGCUGGGGAGUAUUGGGAUUCUUGCAACUACAAUGGUCAUGGUUUGGACUACAACCAAGGAAGCUGUCAAGGGACAAUUAUGGAGCUUACGUGAUCCCCAGGGGAAGCCACCAGGUGUAAUGCACUAGUACAACUAGCUAGUUCCUAUAUUUAACUUGUGUCUAGUAGAAAUUCUUCCUUCAUUAAGUAUUUGGACUUGUCUGCAGAUUCAGAUUAGUAGAUAUGGGCCAUUUUGAACUAAUGCUCAUGAUUAGGUUUGUGUACAUGAGACAAUGGUGGAUUGGUGAAAAUUGCAAUGAAUGAUUUUGGAUGUGUAUUUUAUGGUUUUAUGAAUGGACAAUUUUAAUGUUUAGAUGAA